RNAcentral lists this ribosomal RNA (907 nucleotides) under uncultured archaeon. RNAcentral's name for it is "bacterial SSU rRNA". It matches the Rfam family "Archaeal small subunit ribosomal RNA", at positions 1 to 888 of the family's 1478-position model. The record is from RNAcentral.
UUCCGGUUGAUCCCGCCGGACCCCACUGCUAUCGAGGUGGGACUAAGCCAUGCUAGUCGAACGCACAGAACUAUGUCUGUGAGUGGCACACUGCUCAGUAACACGUAGCUAACCUACCCUUAGGACGUGGACACCCCCGAGAAAUUGGGGCUAAUCCGCGAUAGAUGUGAUGUCCUGGAAUGGUAUCACGUCUAAAGGUAUCCCAUACAUGUUUGUUAUACGCCUAAGGAUGGGGCUGCGGCUGAUCAGGCUGUUGGUGAGGUAAUGGCUCACCAAACCAUUGACCAGUACGGGCCAUGAGAGUGGUAGCCCGGAGAUGGACACUGAGACAAGGGUCCAGGCCCUACGGGGCGCAGCAGGCGCGAAACCUCCUCAAUGCACUAACGUGUGAAGGGGUUACCUCGAGUGCUACCUGAUGAAGGUGGCUUUUCCUUGGUCUAAAUAGCCUUGGGAAUAAGAGGGGGGCAAGACUGGUGUCAGCCGCCGCGGUAACACCAGCCCCUCGAGUGGUGGGGAUGAUUAUUUGGCCUAAAGCGUCCGUAGCCGGUCAGGUAAGUUUCCCGUUAAAUCCAACGUCUCAAGCGUUGGACUGCGGGAAAUACUGCCUGACUAGAGAGUGGGAGAGGUCAGCGGUAUUCCGGGGGUAGGGGCGAAAUCCUUGAUCCCCGGAGGACCACCAGUGGCGAAGGCUGCUGACUAGAACACGUCUGACGGUCAGGGACGAAAGCUGGGGGAGCAAACCGGAUUUGAUACCCGGGUAGUCCCAGCUGUAAACUAGUGCAAACUCAGUGAUGCAUUGGCUUGUGGCCAAUGCAGUGCUGCAGGGAAGCCGUUAAGUUUGCCGCCUGGGAAGUACGUACGCAAGUAUGAAACUUAAAGGAAUUGGCGGGGGACGCACCACAAGGGG